AGUGGAAGCGUCUGGAAAGGCGUGCGAUACAGGGUGACAGCCCCGUACACAAAAAUGCACAUAUUGUGAGCUCGAUGAGUAGGGCGGGACACGUGGUAUCCUGUCUGAAUAUGGGGGGACCAUCCUCCAAGGCUAAAUACUCCUGACUGACCGAUAGUGAACCAGUACCGUGAGGGAAAGGCGAAAAGAACCCCGGCGAGGGGAGUGAAAAAGAACCUGAAACCGUGUACGUACAAGCAGUGGGAGCCUCUUAAUGGGGUGACUGCGUACCUUUUGUAUAAUGGGUCAGCGACUUAUAUUCUGUAGCAAGGUUAACCGAAUAGGGGAGCCGAAGGGAAACCGAGUCUUAACUGGGCGUUAAGUUGCAGGGUAUAGACCCGAAACCCGGUGAUCUAGCCAUGGGCAGGUUGAAGGUUGGGUAACACUAACUGGAGGACCGAACCGACUAAUGUUGAAAAAUUAGCGGAUGACUUGUGGCUGGGGGUGAAAGGCCAAUCAAACCGGGAGAUAGCUGGUUCUCCCCGAAAGCUAUUUAGGUAGCGCCUCGUGAAUUCAUCUC
RNAcentral lists this ribosomal RNA (559 nucleotides) under Escherichia coli. RNAcentral describes it as "partial 23S ribosomal RNA". It matches the Rfam family "Bacterial large subunit ribosomal RNA", at positions 331 to 896 of the family's 2925-position model. The record is from RNAcentral. Lineage: Bacteria; Pseudomonadati; Pseudomonadota; Gammaproteobacteria; Enterobacterales; Enterobacteriaceae.